Molecule: ribosomal RNA, 468 nt
Filed under: uncultured bacterium
Lineage: Bacteria
Description: partial 16S ribosomal RNA
Rfam family: Bacterial small subunit ribosomal RNA
Source: RNAcentral
GACGAACGCUGGCGGCGUGCUUAACACAUGCAAGUCGAACGGAAAGGCCCUGCUUUUGUGGGGUGCUCGAGUGGCGAACGGGUGAGUAACACGUGAGUAACCUGCCCUUGACUUUGGGAUAACUUCAGGAAACUGGGGCUACUACCGGAUAGGAGCUCCUGCUGCAUGGUGGGGGUUGGAAAGUUUCGGCGGUUGGGGAUGGACUCGCGGCUUAUCAGCUUGUUGGUGGGGUAGUGGCUUACCAAGGCUUUGACGGGUAGCCGGCCUGAGGGGGUGACCGGCCACAUUGGGACUGAGAUACGGCCCAGACUCCUACGGGGGGCAGCAGUGGGGAAUAUUGCACAAUGGGCGGAAGCCUGAUGCAGCAACGCCGCGUGCGGGAUGACGGCCUUCGGGUUGUAAACCGCUUUCGCCUGUGACGAAGCGUGAGUGACGGUAAUGGGUAAAGAAGCACCGGCUAACUACGUG